Molecule: ribosomal RNA, 582 nt
Filed under: Saccharomycopsis fibuligera
Lineage: Eukaryota; Fungi; Ascomycota; Saccharomycetes; Ascoideales; Saccharomycopsidaceae
Description: partial large subunit ribosomal RNA
Rfam family: Eukaryotic large subunit ribosomal RNA
Source: RNAcentral
AGCCAUGCCUUAGUACGGCGAGUGAGCGGCAAAGCUCAAAUUUGAAAGCUAGUACCCUCAAACGGUGCUCGCGUUGUAAUUUGAAGAUAGUUUCCUUGAGUAGUCCUUUAUCUAUGUUCCUUGGAACAGGACGUCAUAGAGGGUGAGAACCCCGUAUGAUUUUGGAUACUGCUCUCUGUGGGAUUCUAUCGAAGAGUCGAGUUGUUUGGGAAUGCAGCUCUAAGUGGGUGGUAAAUUCCAUCUAAAGCUAAAUAUUGGCGAGAGACCGAUAGCGAACAAGUACAGUGAUGGAAAGAUGAAAAGAACUCUGAAGAGAGAGUGAAAAAGUACGUGAAAUUGCUGAAAGGGAAGGGCUUUAGGUCAGACUUGGUGUUUAAUGAUUAUCAGUUCUUCUUGAACUGUGCACUCGUUUUUCACCGGGCCAAUAUCAGUUUUGACGGUAGAGGACCCCUUGAAAUGUGGCUCCCUUCGGGGAGUGUUAUAGUCUUGGGGAGAUCUACUUGUUGGGACUGAGGACUGCGCUUCGGCAAGGAUAUUGGCGUAAUGACCUUAAGCCGCCCGUCUUAAAAACCGGAAACAAAA